CACGACGUGCCCGAGCAGCCAAGGGACCAGCCUGCAAAGCUGAGGUUCGCGGGUGCGAGUCCCGCCGUCGUGUCCA
Molecule: transfer RNA, 76 nt
Filed under: Verrucomicrobiota bacterium
Lineage: Bacteria; Pseudomonadati; Verrucomicrobiota
Description: Verrucomicrobia bacterium (freshwater metagenome) tRNA-Cys
Rfam family: tRNA
About the family: Transfer RNA (tRNA) molecules are approximately 80 nucleotides in length. Their secondary structure includes four short double-helical elements and three loops (D, anti-codon, and T loops).
Source: RNAcentral